Molecule: ribosomal RNA, 251 nt
Filed under: uncultured bacterium
Lineage: Bacteria
Description: partial 16S ribosomal RNA
Rfam family: Bacterial small subunit ribosomal RNA
Source: RNAcentral
UUGGUCCUACGGGGCGCAGCAGUGGGGAAUAUUGCACAAUGGGGGAAACCCUGAUGCAGCAACGCCGCGUGAGUGAAGAAGUAUUUCGGUAUGUAAAGCUCUAUCAGCAGGGAAGAAGAUGACGGUACCUGACCAAGAAGCCCCGGCUAACUACGUGCCAGCAGCCGCGGCAAUACGUAGGGGGCAAGCGUUAUACGGAUUUACUGGGUGUAAAGGGAGCGCAGACGGCAGUGCAAGUCUGGAGUGAAAGC